Molecule: long non-coding RNA, 821 nt
Organism: Peromyscus californicus insignis
Lineage: Eukaryota; Metazoa; Chordata; Mammalia; Rodentia; Cricetidae
Exons: 2
Source: RefSeq, a predicted model, not a curated record
UUUCCUUAGAAUGAGGCUUUUACAUCGGGAUGCAGGGUGGCGCUAAGAGAUGGGAUUUCAAGGGGUGGAUCAGAAUAUUAACCUUCCUCCGUUUUGAUUAUUAUAAAAAGAGAGAAACAGCAGAUGCAAUGGCUUCUGUACUCCUGAUUUGGCAUACCACUCCCCCAAGCUCCUGGAACAUCACUGCUGCACCCUGCCUUCUCAGCUCCCUCAAGGAACAGACUCCUGAGACCUCCAUGCCCAAGAUCUCCUGCUGCAUGUGACCCUGAUUCCUAACAUACCCCCUCCCCAAUUUGCCCCUUGUUCGCAUGGAGCUUUCUAGAGAAUUCGGCGCCGCCACCCCCCCCCCCAUUUGCUAUCCAUAAAUAGUCUUUUUAUAAUAAUCAAAAUGGAGGAAUGUAUGGUGAUAUUUUAAUUGUACUGAAAUGUGAUUUUAUUUGUAUGUUAAUAAAUAAAGCUGCCUGAGGGUCAGAGCUAAUAGCAAGCCAUAGCAGAGCUGGGCGUUCGUGGUGCACGCCUUUAAUUCCAGAACUUGGUAGGCAGAGCUGGGUAGAUCUCUCUGUGGUCAAGGAUACAGUCAGCAUUGGAGACACACGCCUUUAAGCUCAAUACCAUAGAAGACCUGGAGGGCUGUACAACAGACAGUGAUGAGGCAGUCAUGUGGUUGGUUUUACAACCAAUGAGAAGGCAGAACAGAAAGUCUAUAUAAAGACAAACAGACAGGAAGUAGCUCUCUUUUGGAGAGGUCUCUUGGCUGAAGAGGCUAGCUGCAGCAGGCUGGUAAGGCUCUUAGCUCUGAUCUCUUGGCUUUCUUCUUUGCA